UGUUAUGACCUUCAUCUUGCUGGUAACAG
RNAcentral lists this non-coding RNA (29 nucleotides) under Mus musculus (house mouse). Lineage: Eukaryota; Metazoa; Chordata; Mammalia; Rodentia; Muridae. The record is from RNAcentral.